UUUGAUACAUGGAAUCCAUCUCGGAUUUCAUGGCCUCUUGCCAUCUUUUUGAAUCAAUGUUGGACAUUGCUUCAGUGUAGUCUUUAGGGUCUUCCUUUGUUCAUUGUCACCUAGAAGGUGCAAUUCCCCAAAGUCAUUAUCUAAGCCAUACCUCUUAGGUGGCUUGCUAACCCGUUCAGAUCUACGUGGAGCUAGGGGUUCAGGAACAGGGUUGU
This 215-nucleotide long non-coding RNA is filed under the name Malus domestica (apple). Its description in RNAcentral is "long non-coding RNA (MDOM_LNC016868)". Lineage: Eukaryota; Viridiplantae; Streptophyta; Magnoliopsida; Rosales; Rosaceae. The record is from RNAcentral.